CCUAUCUUAAGUAGCAAAGAUUGCUAACUUGCUUAUUUCAAGAAGCAAAAGUUGUCUUCUUGAACAUCACCAUCUUGAAUAUCUCAAGAAGCAAGACUUGCAACCUGCACAUUACAAUAGGAAGCAAUAAUCAUGAGCCUACACAAGAAAGUUAUCUUGCAUUUGCUUUCGAAGUUUUUGCUAACUUGUAUAUCGUAAAAAAAU
This 204-nucleotide long non-coding RNA is filed under the name Musa acuminata (dwarf banana). RNAcentral describes it as "long non-coding RNA (MACU_LNC005638)". The record is from RNAcentral. Lineage: Eukaryota; Viridiplantae; Streptophyta; Magnoliopsida; Zingiberales; Musaceae.